GACCUACGGGACGCAGCAGUGGGGGAUAUUGCACAAUGGGGGAAACCCUGAUGCAGCGACGCCGCGUGGGCGAAGAAGUAUUUCGGUAUGUAAAGCCCUAUCAGCAGGGAAGAAGAAAUGACGGUACCUGAGUAAGAAGCACCGGCUAAAUACGUGCCAGCAGCCGCGGUAAUACGUAUGGUGCAAGCGUUAUCCGGAUUUACUGGGUGUAAAGGGAGCGUAGACGGCUGUGCAAGUCUGAAGUGAAAGCCCAGGGCUCAACCCUGGGACUGCUUUGGAAACUGUGGAGCUAGAGUGCUGGAGAG
Molecule: ribosomal RNA, 305 nt
Filed under: uncultured bacterium
Lineage: Bacteria
Description: bacterial SSU rRNA
Rfam family: Bacterial small subunit ribosomal RNA
Source: RNAcentral